Molecule: ribosomal RNA, 497 nt
Filed under: uncultured bacterium
Lineage: Bacteria
Description: partial 16S ribosomal RNA
Rfam family: Bacterial small subunit ribosomal RNA
Source: RNAcentral
GAUGAACGCUGGCGGCGUGCCUAAUACAUGCAAGUCGAGCGAACGGACGAGAAGCUUGCUUCUCUGAUGUUAGCGGCGGACGGGUGAGUAACACGUGGAUAACCUACCUAUAAGACUGGGAUAACUUCGGGAAACCGGAGCUAAUACCGGAUAAUAUUUUGAACCGCAUGGUUCAAAAGUGAAAGACGGUCUUGCUGUCACUUAUAGAUGGAUCCGCGCUGCAUUAGCUAGUUGGUAAGGUAACGGCUUACCAAGGCAACGAUGCAUAGCCGACCUGAGAGGGUGAUCGGCCACACUGGAACUGAGACACGGUCCAGACUCCUACGGGAGGCAGCAGUAGGGAAUCUUCCGCAUAGGGCGAAAGCCUGACGGAGCAACGCCGCGUGAGUGAUGAAGGUCUUCGGAUCGUAAAACUCUGUUAUUAGGGAAGAACAUAUGUGUAAGUAACUGUGCACAUCUUGACGGUACCUAAUCAGAAAGCCACGGCUAACUACGUG